AGUUCUGAGUAAGGGCGUGUGGUGGAUGCCUUGACUGAAGAAGGCGAUGAAGGACGCGGCAUAGCGGCGAUAUGCUUCGGGGAGGUGCUUAGCAACCUACGAUCCGGAGAUUUCCGAAUGGGGAAACCCCAUCGAGCGAACCUCGAUGACUCUCUAGUUAAACGCCAGAGAGGGCAGACCUCGGGAAGUAAAACAUUUCAGUACCGAGAGGAAAAGAGAACAAUUGUUAUUCCCUUAGUAGCGGCGAGCGAAACGGGAUCAGCCCAAACUCAGCCACAUAAAUAGCUUGGAGCCAUAAGCCGGUAGCCCGUAGCGGAAUUCGUUUUGCUACAAGCUGCUGGCUACAAGCUACAAGCUGUUUAUGCGGAUGGGGGUUAUAAGGCUACAGCGCUGGAAACAGGUGGAGUUACAAAAUGCUUAGUUAGUGGAACGAGCUGGGAAGCUCGACUCCAAAGGGUAAUAGUCCCGUACACGAAAACGAAGCAUCUCUAUGGCUGUAGUUCUUGAGUAUCUCGAGACACGAAUAGCUCGAGUGAAUUUGCCGGAACUAACCGGUAAGGCUACAUACCUCUUCAGAUCGAUAGUGAACAAGUACCGUGAGGGAAAGGUGAAAAGAACCCCGGUGAGGGGAGUGAAAUAGAACUGAAACCACAUGUCUACAAGGAGUCAGAGCGGCCGUCAUUUAUUUGGCGUUGCCGCGAUGGCGUGCCUAUUGAAGAAUGAGCCAACGAGUUGAUGCGUACGGCUUGGCUAAGCCCUAUCGGGUGGAGCCGCAGCGAAAGCGAGUGUGAAUAGCGCGUUUGUCGUACGUAUCAGACCCGAAGCCGGGUGAGCUACCCUUGAGCAGGAUGAACUUCGUAGAAAUACGGAGGGAGGUCCGAACCCAUAGAUUGUUCAACAUCUCGGGAUGACUUGAGGGUUGGAGUGAAAAGCUUAUCGAACUCGGUAAUAGCUGGUUUUCUCCGAAAGAGCUUUCGGGCUUGCGUCGUGUGUUUCUCUGGGGGGUAGAGCACUGGAAGAAGCGGACAGUCCGAAAGGACGCUGCCUCUAUCAAACUCCGAAUACCCAGAGCGCAGCACGGCAGUUAGGCGAUGGGGGCGAAGCUCCAUACGCCAAAAGGGAAACAGCCCAGACCGCCGUCUAAGGUCCCUAAAUUGAUGCUAAGUGCAAACAAGGAGGUGGAAUUUCAUUGACAGUCAGGAUGUUGGCUUAGAAGCAGCCACCAUUCAAAGAAAGCGUAACAGCUCACUGACUUAGAGAUUCUGCGCCACAAAUGAUCGGGGCUAAGCAUCGUACCGAAGACGCGGAUUCGUGAACUUCAUUGAGGAAGGAGGUGAUGCAAAAUGCAGACGGCCGUGAACAUCGCCGUCGGACUUGCCGCAAUAUAUGCGCUGGUCAGCGCAUUACGUGCAUUGUGGCCCGGCCUGAAAAGGUCGCUGUGUCACUGAUAUGGUUUCGGGGACGCCGGUUGUCGGCGCUCCCCACCCAUCUUCUUUCUUCAAUGAAGUUCACGAGUGGUAGGAGAACGUUCCGCCUGCAAUGAAGGCAAAGGGGUGACCCAUGCUGGAGCGCGCGGAAGUGAAAAUGUUGGCACGAGUAACCGCAAUGCGAGUGAGAGUCUCGCACGCCGAAAGAACAAGGUUUCCUUCGCAAUGGAGAUCAUCGAAGGGUUAGUCGGUCCUAAGCCGAUGGCGAACGCCGGAGGCGAUGGACACAGGGUUAAUAUUCCCUGACCUGCUGUAUGUGCGAUGGAGUGACGGAGGGUUGUACUCUAGGCCCCUUAUUGGUUUGGGGUUCAUGUCGUGAGGAUGAUGCAUAGGCAAAUCCGUGCGUUAUAGUCCGAGCGAAGUGGAAAAGUGGAGGCCUCGGCCGAAACUGAUUUAGAGGAGCACGCUUCCAAGAAAAACUUCUAAGCUCAACAUACAGUAGACCGUACCGCAAACCGACACAGGUGUUCAGGGCGAGUAGCCCAAGGCGAACGAGUGAGAGGUCCCCAAGGAACUCGGCAAAAAAGCGGCCGUACGUUAGCAAUAAGGCCUGCCCUUCGCAAGAAGGGCCGCAGAGAAUUAUUCCCAACCGACUGUUUACCAAAAACACAGCUCCCUGCAAACUCGUAAGAGGAAGUAUAGGGGGUGAUGCCUGACCAAUGCCGGAAGGUCAAAUACGAUCGUUGCAAGCAUUUAUGUUUGUGGUGGAUUGUAUAAGCCCCGGUCAAUGUCGGCGAUAACUAUAAUCGUGAACUCGCUACGCCUCGCAAGAGGUCAAGAGUAGGGCGAUUAAAAAAUUCGACUAAAUGCUGGAACAACUGUUCCUUCAAUGGAUGCAGACCAUGUGCUACCCAAUGGAGAGUUACAUUGAGGUGACAAUGCGCAUGCGCAGUCAAUCAGCAGGAAAGACUUGUGCGCCAGAGUGGCAAUUAAAAAAACCACAAUGGAACAAAACAAAAAAGAACUAGCCCGCAUCCUUGCCAAGUUCAAAGGUAAGGAAAAGGCGCUGCAAUAUUAUCUGGCAGGAUUUGCCGAUGGAGAAAGUAGUUUCUCCGUGGCGAUUAUCAAACAUCCGACUGCAAAGUUCGGGUGGAUGAUUAACCCCUGUUUUCAGGUAUAUCAGCAUGAAAAACAUCGAGAAAUUCUGGAAAUGUUCAAAUUCGUUUUCAACGAAGGAAGCAUUUACAGAAAAUCCGGUGUGCAUCCCGUACUCAACUACAGCAUCAACUCGAUGCGUGGCAUACAGGAGAAAGUCAUUCCUUUUUUCGAGAAGCAUCCGCUUAUCGUGAAGGAAGAAACAUUCAAAACGUUCUGCGCCAUCGUGAGAGCGAUGGAGCGAAAAGAACACUUGACGAUUCAAGGGUUCAAGAAAGUCGUUGACAUGGCAUACACCAUGAAUCAGCAAGGUAAAGGGCGAAAGCACUCGAAAGAGGAAAUCUUCGCCACAUUGCCGAAAACUUAACAACGCGCACAAGAAUCCUCAGAGACUACACGUCGAACCGCGCGCCACAGCGCGGAUGAUAUAGUCCAAUCCUCAUGGCGACAUGAGGUGUAAGUACUUCGAAAUAGUAUUUCGAAAUGCCUAAGGUAGCGAAAUUCCUUGUCUGGUAAGUUCAGACGCGCACGAAUGGUAUAACGAGUUGGGAACUGUCUCGGGGACUUGCUCGGUGAAAAUACAAGGGCGGUGAAGAUGCCGCCUUCCUGCAGC
This 3195-nucleotide ribosomal RNA is filed under the name Candidatus Kaiserbacteria bacterium RIFCSPLOWO2_01_FULL_55_25. RNAcentral describes it as "partial 23S ribosomal RNA". It matches the Rfam family "Bacterial large subunit ribosomal RNA", at positions 1 to 2076 of the family's 2925-position model. Lineage: Bacteria; Candidatus Kaiseribacteriota. The record is from RNAcentral.